AGAGUCAUGGGAAGGAUUGAUGAGAAGAGGAAUGACCCGAAACUAUUCUUGGGAAAACGCUGCCGUUCAGUAUGAGCAAGUUUUCCAAUGGGUUUUCAUGGACCCUCCCUACGUCAGCUAGACCAAACACAAACCGAAUCAAACCGAGUUGGACCGGACCAGACCAGACCAGACCAGACCAGACCUGACCUGACCUGACCUGACCAAUCAGAUGGAGAAUGUGGAACCUCCUCUUCCGUUUAUCGAAUAUCUAUGGUUUUCAACGUUUCCACACAUUAAACCGUGUAUCUAUGUUACUAUCUCAAUUAUAUAAACUCGUACGAUAUUU
RNAcentral lists this long non-coding RNA (328 nucleotides) under Arabidopsis lyrata. Its description in RNAcentral is "long non-coding RNA (ALYR_LNC001289)". The record is from RNAcentral. Lineage: Eukaryota; Viridiplantae; Streptophyta; Magnoliopsida; Brassicales; Brassicaceae.